CCUACGGGAGGCAGCAGUGGGGAAUAUUGGACAAUGGGGGGAACCCUGAUCCAGCGACGCCGCGUGAGUGAAGAAGUAUUUCGGUAUGUAAAGCUCUAUCAGCAGGGAAGAAAGAAAUGACGGUACCUGACUAAGAAGCCCCGGCUAACUACGUGCCAGCAGCCGCGGUAAUACGUAGGGGGCAAGCGUUAUCCGGAUUUACUGGGUGUAAAGGGAGCGUAGACGGCAGUGCAAGUCUGGAGUGAAAGGCGGGGGCUCAACCCCCGGACUGCUCUGGAAACUGUACGGCUGGAGUGCAGGAGAGGUAAGUGGAAUGCCUAGUGUAGCGGUGAAAUGCGUAGAUAUUAGGAGGAACACCAGUGGCGAAGGCGGCUUACUGGACUGUAACUGACGUUGAGGCUCGAAAGCGUGGGGAGCAAACAGGAUUAGAUACCCUUGUAGUC
This 443-nucleotide ribosomal RNA is filed under the name uncultured bacterium. RNAcentral's name for it is "partial 16S ribosomal RNA". It matches the Rfam family "Bacterial small subunit ribosomal RNA", at positions 338 to 795 of the family's 1533-position model. The record is from RNAcentral.